Lactobacillus kalixensis DSM 16043 is the source of this 51-nucleotide non-coding RNA. The record is from Rfam. Lineage: Bacteria; Bacillati; Bacillota; Bacilli; Lactobacillales; Lactobacillaceae.
GGUUGGGGUUAGAUUGAAACUUUCAAGAUUUGCUUAUUUGGGUCAAUAAGC